This 484-nucleotide long non-coding RNA is filed under the name Parus major (Great Tit). RNAcentral describes it as "lncRNA (ENSPMJG00000013113.1)". Lineage: Eukaryota; Metazoa; Chordata; Aves; Passeriformes; Paridae. The record is from RNAcentral.
CAAGGAUCUCAAGUUAACCAUUGUGGAGUGUUCCUCAAUAAUAGAGAUACUGAAGGCUGAAAGAAAUAAACUGCUGGAGAACAUCCAACACAUGCAGCAAGAGCUGAUCUCGAAUGGGUUGAGUUUCCCGUUGUGUAAAUUUAACAGCAAUAUUCCUGAAGAGAUGAAUUCACUGCAUUGUGAACUGGAGCUUGCACAGUCUUCUGAGAUUAUCAGGACUGAAUGGACAUCCCUGGAUGAAACACUGGACCGUGAAGUGCUGCUUUUGCUUCAGGGGCCUGAAUAUGCAGGAGAAAAAUUCAAGACUAUCAUGCAAAACCUGCAAGAGGAAGCCUCUGAAGCAGAGGAGCUUGUCAUGGUUUCAUUAGAAUGGGUAAAAGAUCCUGAUGAGGACAUGCAACAAGCAUGGGAAAGAAAACUUAUGGUGAGUGACUUUCUCUGAAGCAUUCAGUGAAAUGGUGGAGCUGUGAACAACUUCAGGUGG